CUCACACGGAACACGAGGCCUGUGUGGGGAAGGGGGUCCCUUCCUCCUUCCCCAUCAGCCUGGGCUCCUCCAGUGCUCCUGCCCAGAGGCAUCCCUCAGAUGGCAGAUUGAAGGCAUGAGACCAAAUGGCACAAUCACAAGAAUCAAGUUCAGACUGUCCGCUGGUUACUACAGCAACAGCAGUUACUGUGAUUGCUGAGAGCUACCAUUUAUUCAGCACUGGUAUGUUCCUGGGUGCCUCACAGGCCUUAGCUCAUUUAAUCCUCACCAGGACCCCAUGAGUGGCUCCUGGAGCUGCCUGAUAACCUGUAAGCCUCCUUCGGUAAUAACGGAAUCUGCUGUACUAAUGACACAGGCAAAUCCGGGGGCCGCCUCCUCUGCAGAGCCACUGCGGCAGGCCCGCCCCUUCCCCAGAGCCCAUGCCCUUGCAGGCAAUGCCGACCUGUCCCCCAAACCGGCAGGGCUUGACAUCCUGAAUACCAACACCGGACAAGGCCUGGUCUCUGCUGCUGCAGACCGAACAAGCGCUGGAGCCGAGUGCCGGGCUGCCCCAUGCUGGCCCCUUGCAAACAGCAGAGCAGGGUCUUACCACGGCUGCCUUGAAGCUGAGAAGACAGACGCUGGGCCGAGGGCCUUGGCACCAGCCCAGGGUAACUGGGACACCCAUGUUUGCAAAGAAAGCAUUUGUGAAGUGUGAAGAAAUCAGAACAGGGCCGUUCAAAAACUGUGUUUAAAUUUCACUCAAAAUGUUCUAUUUUGUGUAAGGGGCAGAGUCCCUUUAGAAAAACACUUGCUGGCAUUUGCGAACCACUGUUGCCAUGGAGCUGUUAAGAGAAGUUAGCUACCCAGGGUCGGCAAUUAAUUCUAGUGGCUGUCGGUAAAAUGAGCCAGCAGCUCCUUUUGGAAAAAGCCGAUGGGUACACGGAAGCUGAAAGGUAUCCAUCCAGAGCCACGACGUGCCAUGGACUGGUCUAGUGAGUAAGACGAAGUUAUUCUCAAAGAACCCAAAGGAAAAGAUAGGCCAGGCAUAUUCGGAGAAAGGAGAAGGUGAUUUUUGAAGGGCUGGUGCUAUGAGUAUAAAAAGCCUGAAUGACGGGUAUCCGAGGGGGGUGUGAGAUGGAGUUUAGGCAGGGAACUCUGGAAAAGCCUUGGAGGAGGAGACCUUGAGUUGAAUCUGGAAUAAGAAUCCAGCCUGGGAAAGAUCUGGGGGAAGCAAGGGUUCAGACCCAGGCGGGUGUGAAGGAAGAGGUUAGGGCAGCCUCAGCCCUCCCCACCCUGCCCCGGGGACAUUCAGGAAAAAAGCCAUACCAGAAGAAAUGGAAGUUCCAAAUAAGAGAAGAGCGUUAGGGCUGGUGAGGGCCACCCUCUGUGGCAGUAGCUGUGCAUCUGUCUGCUCAUCAGUGCCUGGCCUGAGCUGGGCCAUGUUCACAUGGCAAACAUGUGAAACAGUUCAGGAAUACAACAUUGUUAAAUGAGGCUCCCCCUUGAACUCAAGACUCAGUGUCUUGGGAUACCUGGGUGGCUCAGUGGUUGAGCAUCUGCCUUUGGCUCAGGUCAUGAUCCUGGGGUCCUGGGAUCGAGUCCUGCAUCAGGCUCCCUGC
This is a long non-coding RNA of Canis lupus familiaris (dog), 1601 nucleotides long. RefSeq lists it as uncharacterized. Lineage: Eukaryota; Metazoa; Chordata; Mammalia; Carnivora; Canidae. The record is from RefSeq and is a predicted model, not a curated record. The transcript has 6 exons.